RNAcentral lists this ribosomal RNA (261 nucleotides) under uncultured bacterium. RNAcentral describes it as "partial 16S ribosomal RNA". It matches the Rfam family "Bacterial small subunit ribosomal RNA", at positions 793 to 1055 of the family's 1533-position model. The record is from RNAcentral.
GUCCACGCCGUAAACGAUGAGCACUAGGUGUCGGGGUCGCAAGACUUCGGUGCCGUAGUUAACGCAUUAAGUGCUCCGCCUGGGGGAGUACGUUCGCAAGAAUGAAACUCAAAGGAAUUGACGGGGACCCGCACAAGCAGCGGAGCAUGUGGUUUAAUUCGAAGCAACGCGAAGAACCUUACCAGGACUUGACAUCCUUCUGACAGGACCUUAACCGGUCCCUCCUUCGGGCAGAAGAGACAGGUGGUGCAUGGUUGUCGU